AUGCAUCUUGGACAGACCUGGAGCAGUUACUGUCUGCUGCUGAGGUUUCCACUGCAGAUGCAAGAAAAACAGAACGUCCCCCUGCUGUCCGGGGCAGCCAAGAUCAAAUGGGGGACAGAGGA
RNAcentral lists this small nucleolar RNA (122 nucleotides) under Dasypus novemcinctus (nine-banded armadillo). Its description in RNAcentral is "Small nucleolar RNA SNORA31 (ENSDNOG00000030072.1)". Lineage: Eukaryota; Metazoa; Chordata; Mammalia; Cingulata; Dasypodidae. The record is from RNAcentral.